Molecule: ribosomal RNA, 512 nt
Filed under: Rhampholeon uluguruensis
Lineage: Eukaryota; Metazoa; Chordata; Lepidosauria; Squamata; Chamaeleonidae
Description: partial 16S ribosomal RNA
Rfam family: Bacterial large subunit ribosomal RNA
Source: RNAcentral
AAAAACAUAGCUUCUAGCCCAACAACUAUUAGAAGUAGCGCCUGCCCUGUGGACCCCCUAAACGGCCGCGGCACCAAAACCGUGCAAAGGUAGCACAAUCAUUUGUCCUUUAAAUGGGGACUCGUAUGAAAGGCAGCACGAGAGAAAACCUGUCUCCUAAGACCAGCCAAUGAAAUUGAACUACCAGUACAAAAGCUGGUAUAUUAAAGCAAGACAAAAAGACCCCGUGGAACUUAAUAACCCGUUUACGCAAACUAAACGAUAACUUUAGUUGGGACAACUUUAGAAAAAUUAAACCUCUAACACCGCCAAGGCCAACAAGCCUAAGAUAUUAAAACUGACCCAGUCACACUGAUUAAUGAAAUAAGCUACCCCGGGGAUAACAGCGCCACCUUCUCAAAAGUCCAUAUUAACAAGAAGACCUACGACCUCGAUGUUGGAUCGGGGUACCCCGACGGCGCAGCAGCUGUCAAAGGUUCGUUUGUUCAACGACUAACACCCCACGUGAUCUG